UGAUCAAGCAAAUACUUGACGACGUCGAUUGCCUUUUUCCAUUGAUCUAAACCAAACAAUAACAGAUGAAAUAGACCAUAUAGAUGAUAAAAUUUGUGGAGAUCAACCAUCAAUGGCCAAUGUUAUCCCCACUCAGACAUUUCAACAAGCCAAUCCAGUUUUAAAUGAUCAACAAAUACAUGAAGAACAUAUGUUGCCCUUUCCUACGGAUCUUAACCAAACAACAACAAUGGAUGCAAUGCAAACUAGAGAUGGUAGUGAUGAUACUAUAAUGGAGGAUCAUGGUCAAUAUUUUCCUGGAUAACCAUUAUGGUGUAGGAUACUUUAUUGUAAUGGAUUAUCUAUUGAGUGUGUAACUCUAUUUAGAAAUUGGAUCUUGGAUGGAGUGGCUUGUUUUUUCAAGAUAGAGACAUUAUUUGCAUACUAUAUUUUUGAGUUGGACUACUAUUGUGUAUGUG
Long non-coding RNA from Cryptomeria japonica (Japanese cedar), 458 nucleotides. RefSeq lists it as uncharacterized. The transcript has 4 exons. Lineage: Eukaryota; Viridiplantae; Streptophyta; Pinopsida; Cupressales; Cupressaceae. The record is from RefSeq and is a predicted model, not a curated record.